This 966-nucleotide ribosomal RNA is filed under the name Golovinomyces ambrosiae. Its description in RNAcentral is "partial 28S ribosomal RNA". It matches the Rfam family "Eukaryotic large subunit ribosomal RNA", at positions 1 to 980 of the family's 3401-position model. Lineage: Eukaryota; Fungi; Ascomycota; Leotiomycetes; Helotiales; Erysiphaceae. The record is from RNAcentral. RNAcentral also lists the same sequence under 1 other name.
UUGACCUCGAAUCAGGUAGGGAUACCCGCUGAACUUAAGCAUAUCAAUAAGCGGAGGAAAAGAAACCAACCGGGAUUACCUCAGUAACGGCGAGUGAAGCGGUAACAGCUCAAAUUUGAAAUCUGGCUCUUCCGGAGUCCGAGUUGUAAUUUGUAGAAGAUGCUUUGGGAGGUAGGGCCGGCCUAAGUUCCUUGGAACAGGACAUCAGAGAGGGUGAGAAUCCCGUAUGUGGCCGUGGCCUACGCCCGUGUAAAGCUCUUUCGACGAGUCGAGUUGUUUGGGAAUGCAGCUCAAAAUGGGUGGUAAAUUUCAUCUAAAGCUAAAUAUUGGCCAGAGACCGAUAGCGCACAAGUAGAGUGAUCGAAAGAUGAAAAGCACUUUGGAAAGAGAGUUAAACAGUACGUGAAAUUGUUGAAAGGGAAGCGCUUGCAACCAGACUUGGGCGUCGUCGAUCAUCCGGGGUUCUCCUCGGUGCACUCGACGAGGCACAGGCCAGCAUCGGUUUGGAUGGUUGGAGAAAGGCCCUAGGAACGUAGCUCUCUUCGGGGAGUGUUAUAGCCUAGAGCGCAAUGCAGCCCAUCCGGACCGAGGACCGCGCCUUUGGCUAGGAUGCUGGCGUAAUGGUUGCAAGCGACCCGUCUUGAAACACGGACCAAGGAGUCUAACAUCUAUGCGAGUGUUUGGGCGUUAAACCCAUACGCGGAAUGAAAGUGAACGUAGGUGAGAACCCGUCAGGGUGCAUCAUCGACCGAUCCUGAUGUCUUCGGAUGGAUUUGAGUACGAGCAUAGCUGUUGGGACCCGAAAGAUGGUGAACUAUGCCUGAAUAGGGUGAAGCCAGAGGAAACUCUGGUGGAGGCUCGCAGCGGUUCUGACGUGCAAAUCGAUCGUCAAAUUUGGGUAUAGGGGCGAAAGACUAAUCCGAACCAUCUAGUAGCUGGUUCCUGCCGAAGUUUCCCCUCAGGAUA